RNAcentral lists this ribosomal RNA (1516 nucleotides) under human gut metagenome. Its description in RNAcentral is "bacterial LSU rRNA". It matches the Rfam family "Bacterial large subunit ribosomal RNA", at positions 829 to 2423 of the family's 2925-position model. The record is from RNAcentral.
CCAAUCGAACUCGGAGAUAGCUGGUUCUCCCCGAAAUAGCUUUAGGGCUAGCGUUGUGUUAGUUUACCGGAGGUAGAGCACUGAAUUGGCUAGGGGGCGAUGAGCUUACUGAACCUUAUCAAACUUCGAAUGCCGGAUAAAUGGUGCACAGCAGUCAGACAGUGUGAGAUAAGUUUCAUUGUCAAGAGGGAAACAGCCCAGACCCACAGCUAAGGUCCCAAAUGAACGCUAAGUGGAAAACGAUGUGGGGUUGCAAAAACAACCAGGAUGUUGGCUUAGAGGCAGCCACUCAUUAAAAGAGUGCGUAAUAGCUCACUGGUCGAGUGACCCUGCGCGGAAAAUAUAACGGGGCUAAGCGUCCAACCGAAGCUUGGGAUGUCUGAUGACAUGGUAGGGGAGCGUCGUGUACGGGGUGAAGCAUGAGCGAGAGCACAUGUGGACUUUACACGAGUGAGAAUGCCGGAAUGAGUAGCGAGAAUUAUGUGGGAAUCAUAAUGGCCGAAAAUCUAAGGUUUCUUGGGGAAGGUUCGUCCGCCCAAGGUAAGCCGGGAGCUAAGGCGAGGCCGAAAGGCGUAGUCGAUGCACAUACGGUUGAAAUUCCGUAGCCGCCGAAAUUGUUAAGCACAGGGACACAUAGAGAUAUCCGAACCCGGGCGUUGGUUGACCCGGGCGCAAGGGACCGAACAUCAGUAGGGAAGUCGGAGAUGCUCUGUGGCGAGAAAAGCUGUGCGUAUUGAUUAGGCGCCCGUACCGCAAACCGACACAGGUAGAUGAGGAGAGAAUCCUAAGGCCAACGGGAGAAGGGUUGUUAAGGAACUCGGCAAAUUGACCCCGUAACUUCGGGAAAAGGGGAGCCUCCUACGGGAGGCCGCAGAGAAUAGGCCCAAGCAACUGUUUACCAAAAACACAGGUCUCUGCUAAAUCGAAAGAUGACGUAUAGGGGCUGACGCCUGCCCGGUGCCGGAAGGUUAAGAGGAGAGCUUAGCGCAAGCGAAGGUUCGAAUUGAAGCCCCGGUAAACGGCGGCCGUAACUAUAACGGUCCUAAGGUAGCGAAAUUCCUUGUCAGGUAAGUUCUGACCCGCACGAAUGGCGUAAUGAUUUGGGCACUGUCUCAACAGCCCGCCCGGCGAAAUUGUAGUACUGGUGAAGAUGCCAGUUACCCGCAACUAGACGGAAAGACCCCAUGGAGCUUUACUGUAGCUUAAUACUGAAGAUCGGUAAUGCAUGUACAGGAUAGGUGGGAGCCUAGGAAACCCGGGCGUCAGCUUGGGCGGAGGCAACCUUGGAAUACCACCCUUGUAUUGCUGGUUUUCUAACCUGCGGCCAUGAAUCUGGUCGGGGGACACUGUUAGGUGGGCAGUUUGACUGGGGCGGUCGCCUCCAAAAGCGUAACGGAGGCGCUCAAAGGUUGGCUCAGCACGGACGGAAAUCGUGCAUAGAGUGCAAACACAUAAGCCAACUUGACUGCGAGACCGACGGGUCGAGCAGGUACGAAAGUAGGAGUUAGUGAUCCGG